AUUGGUGUCUUUCUCCUAUAUUGAGUCCUGUUUUGUAAACCUACGGUGCGGUAUCUGGAGUUCUUUUCAAGGGAAGUCUUUCUGAAUCCAGAGAAAGAUACCAAAACGCAGGAUACCAUUUUUAUGUUUUUAAAACCAACCCGUUUCUUUUCUUUCUUACAUGGAACUGGGAGACGUGAUGUAGCGUUCAGCGGAGCAGAGGACGCGGUGUGCAAAAGUGCCACGGUAAAGCAAAGCGAUCUGGAUUUAAACAAGGAGCCUUUUCACUGACCAAUAUUAUCAAUAAAAUAAGAGGAUAUUGGACAUUUAUGGCAAACCUACUUUGCAGAGAAAUUACGAGUGGAGUUUACUGAACCAAGUCCUUGGUUUCCCUUGUCGCUGUUUCGUUGGUGACAGAGUAUCUGCAUGUUAUUUUUCCGGGCAAGGACGUUACUCAUUGGAAAAAAGACAGUUUAAUCUUAGCAGUUUCAACGCUGAUGUGUUUUAAUGGCAGGACUUCACUGCGGGCUCGUGUCGGAGCUCUGAAACACGGAGUGUCCAGUGUCCAGUCCCGUCCUGUGAUGCGCAGGUUUGGGACCAUCAGCUGCUGAGCCGCAGGACAUUGUGUAAGAGAGGAUAUCCUUACCUUAUUAAGGUUAAUGAACACCUGGGACAGAGGGAGGAAGGGAGAAACAGAGAGAGAGAGAGAAUAAGGAGAGGAAGUCAGGACACCAUGACGAGCGAAAGAAUUUCCAGAUCAUAUCACAUAUGAACAGUUCAUUCAACCAGUGAAGGUAGCCAAGCAUCACGCUAAGG
Alosa sapidissima (American shad) is the source of this 795-nucleotide long non-coding RNA. RefSeq lists it as uncharacterized. NCBI's taxonomy places the organism in Eukaryota, Metazoa, Chordata, Actinopteri, Clupeiformes, Clupeidae. The record is from RefSeq and is a predicted model, not a curated record. The transcript has 3 exons.